AGGACGAACGCUGGCGGCGUGCUUAACACAUGCAAGUCGAACGGGGAUAGUUGAGGAAGGGCUUCGGCCUGGAAACGAUUAUUCGAGUGGCGGACGGGUGAGGGUAACGCGUGAACAAUCUGUCCCAGACAGGGGGAUAACACUUGGAAACAGGUGCUAAUACCGCGUGAGACCACGGUAUCGCAUGGUACUGAGGUAAAAGGAGCAAUCCGGUUUGGGGUGAGUUCGCGUCCGAUUAGCCAGUUGGUGAGGUAACGGCCCACCAAAGCGACGAUCGGUAGCCGAUCUGAGAGGAUGACCGGCCACAUUGGAACUGAGAGACGGUCCAAACCCCUACGGGAGGCAGCAGUGGGGAAUAUUGGGCAAUGGGCGAAAGCCUGACCCAGCAACGCCGCGUGAGUGAAGAAGGCCUUCGGGUUGUAAAGCUCUGUUAUAGGGGACGAAGGAAGUGACGGUACCCUAUAAGGAAGCCCCGGCUAACUACGUGCCAGCCGCCGC
This 498-nucleotide ribosomal RNA is filed under the name uncultured bacterium. Its description in RNAcentral is "bacterial SSU rRNA". It matches the Rfam family "Bacterial small subunit ribosomal RNA", at positions 26 to 518 of the family's 1533-position model. The record is from RNAcentral.